UUCGCCAUCGCUUGUGAAAAAUAUUCAAAAAAUUGAAAUUUUUGCUAAUCGCACUGUAAUACCACAACCGGAAGUCGGAUCUGGAUCAACUUUUCGGGGACUUUUUGAAGAAUUUUAAAACCUUUUGUUUGCUUCUUAGUUUUUGAAAAUCGGUUAAGAAAUUUCCGAGAAAAUUGAGUGAUAUUAUUUGUCACAUACAUUUUGUAAUCUCGACGAGCAGACUCGAAUGGUAAUGAAACUUGGCCCUCCGGGCCUCGCUUGUCGGUUUACACAGCGAUUGCUAGCCUUUCUAUAUGAGAAAGACAAAAACAAAUUUCGGUCAUUUUAGUUUUAGAAUUUAUCUUCGAAAUUCAUUCAGAAUUUAGUUCCAUCAUUCAGAACCGAAAAGUCGGGCGGUCAAAGUUUGAAAUUUUUUUUUGAAAAAUUGACUUUCUGGGACUUUUAAAAUUGGAAAAAAAAACGAAACCCGACCAUCUCUAGGUAGAAGUUGCCGAAAACCGUCGCUGCCUUCCGUGUACAAGUUAGGUGGAUAAUAAAUGAACUUCCUAAUGUGAGGCCGGCCUUGAGUUCCGUACUUCUGCAGCGAUAUGUGAUGCUAUAAUCCCACUCCUGCUGGUGGUUGAAGCCCUGCUUUGCUCCUCAUGCACACCAAAACGGUAUGUGGUGGUAGAAAAUCGAUUCUGCUCGAUCACCGCGCUAUUAUACUCGGCACCAGAAGCCCAGCAAUGAAUGCAUCGUCACGAGUCACCAACAGGAAUUGGAUCUCCUGCUGUUUUUUGUUUUUUGCCUGUAAACUCUCUUUUCAGUAGGAACACGACAGAAAAAAAAUUGACUGAAAUUUCCAUCAUUUUUUUUCAUAAAAUCCUUUGAAAGAUAAAUUACAACGGCUUUAAAAACAAGCCGCGUUUAUCAGCGUUUUUUUUUACUGUGCUUCAUCAUCACCACGAACUGAUCCGUUCUUCGAUGGGUAUGGAAAAAGUGAUUGAAACCAUUUUUACUCGGAAAAAGGCACAGACUGGAACAAGUGCGACCUUUGCUAUUGAAACAAAAUAAAAAAAAAGUGCACGUAUUUUCCUUCCUCCUUAUUCUGCUACCAGUCGAACGGCUGUAUUUCGAGUGUUCACAGAAGACCGGACCCCACCUCCUGUGGGAGUAUUGCAUUGAUGAAUGUGACCUACUGAAACCGACGGUUGUGUGUUUGCCAGGCUAAUAAGAAUUGCAUGUCUGAAUGGUGAUAUCAGAAGAACAUUGAUUUUUUACCCGUCGUCUCGCAGGAAUUAUUGCCAGCGUGUCGGAAAUUGGAUUACAAAGAUGUGAAAGAACUUUUGUCUUUAUUGUAGUUAUGAAACUCUUUCAGUACACUUUUUGAAUGAGAAUGUGAUAAAAUUAUGAAAAAACAAUGUUCCAAUAAACCUUUUCUUCGAUAAUAAAGUAAAAACAUCGAGUCAAUUUAAAGGCAAAAUCAGAUAAUACAGCGCAACUUACAUGUACACUGUGUGCAGUCGGUGGAGUUUAUACAUAUAGUUCCAAAAUUUUCAUUUUUGGCAGUCGCUAAAACGUAGUUUUGGAUUUAUGUAGGGAAUUCAUUGAAGAGUAAUGUGAAGUAGAUUCAAAUGAAAGCCCCUACUGUCCCAUGGCCAGUCAAUGAAUUUCAUCCAGAUCCGACUUCCGGUUUCAGAGUUACGGAGAAAACUGUGCAAAAAAUAAAUGAAAAAGUACACUCGAUUUUCUCACAGACUGCUCGACCAAUUUUCACAAGCGUAUGUUCAAAUGGAAGGCCUUACAAUUUGAUAAAACCACAGACUAACAGACAUGACACUAUGAGUAAAUUCUCCUGAAAAAAAUUUUUCGUGGUACACUAGUUACACCUACAUUGAACUGCGCGAACUAUUUACUAUCGGUACACCCCUUGUGUUAUGUACACGUUUUUUUACUAGUUGGCUUCCCCCCGUUUGUCAACAAAGAUCAGCUGCUUGCAGCGAUGCCAGAUUUCAUCAAGCUUUGUAUAAUAUGUUACACAUUUGAAAUUAUGCCGACAAAAAUAGAAAAUUAUUCUCGGAGUGCCGAUUCAAAGUCAUCUAACGCUUGACGCAAAUUUCCAACUUCCUUUUAUCAUCGUCAUCCAAUCGUCCGAUAGACACAUAUUGAUGAUAAUAGAGUGAUCUCUCUCAUGCACACUCCCCGACCUUACACACGAUUAAAACUGAGAUGUAUUCAUAUCCACUUCAUUGUGGUUCAAACAAAGCCUUCGAACGGUUCGCGAUCAAGUGCCGGUGAACAGAGGCACUAAACGUGUCGAGUGCGGUUAGACAAAUUCCAAGCGAGAAACAAAUCCAAGAACACGCUACAUGAACUUAGACGGUGCAUGAAAACAGAUAAAGCCACUGGAAUACUCGCCUUUCACAGAUAAUAAGUGAAUCAUUCUCAAAGGUGCAAUGAAAAUCACGUGUGCGUCAACACUCACACGAUGCUAACCAUUUCGAUGUUCAUUGGGCAUAAAACGAAGUGAUACCUCGUGGCAAGACAGUGAACAGUUUCUUUCAUGUGCAUCAGAUCAAGAUAGUGACGUGAAGCAAACACAAGGCUCAAAUCAGAGCCUUUUAUGUUAGCCCGCUUCUGUUAAACCUGCGCUAGUCCGUUCUAUAGAGGCCAGUGUGCGUGAACCGUGCACCGAGAGACCAAGCUGUGAUCGCUCUGCUCAACAAGCAAAUUGUUCAACACACAAUGCGGUACGAAGAUCCAAACACGGCGUAGCUGAAUUAACGCGACAGUCUCCAGGAUCGCAUGCAUCGGAGGCGCGAGACGGCUCGGAACAAAUGCAUCUGAAGUGACAAACGGGAAUGUAGAGUCAUCAGUAGGAAAGGAUCGACACCGACGUGCUACAAACAGCGGUGAUUAAUAAGUGUAGGAACCUGAGGCCGGUGUACAUGAAUCAAUAGAAUGAUAGUUAACAGGAAUGGAUUUUAAUAGUUUUAAGCAGCAUGUCACGCAUUAGUUGAGUAAGCGCAUUGCAUGAUUAGAUAGGUUUUGGUGAGUCUUUAUGAAUUGUUGGAGUUACACCAUUCGCACCAGUGAAGAUAAAUAAACCAUUACAAAUAUUAAAAAAGAAUCGUCACAAUAAAUUAUGGAAUUACGUUUAUAUAUUUAACUUUUUUAGCGAUGUUUGAAAGGAACGAUUUAUUUUUCUCA
Molecule: long non-coding RNA, 3189 nt
Organism: Malaya genurostris
Lineage: Eukaryota; Metazoa; Arthropoda; Insecta; Diptera; Culicidae
Exons: 4
Source: RefSeq, a predicted model, not a curated record